Molecule: non-coding RNA, 824 nt
Organism: Zonotrichia albicollis (white-throated sparrow)
Lineage: Eukaryota; Metazoa; Chordata; Aves; Passeriformes; Passerellidae
Source: RefSeq, a predicted model, not a curated record
CUGGCCAAGUCCUGGUGCUUCAGAAGGGGGGAUGCAGGGAUAAGGGCUAUUAUUAUCCCUGUUAUUUUUUAUUUGGGAAGUGCUCCUACCGCCUCAAGCGCUCCCGGGAUUGCCGGCAAGAGCCUUCCUGUCCUUGGAACACGGGAUUUCUGGGAUCCAAGGGUGUGACUGGAGAUGAGCUAUGAGCUGUGGGAUGGAUGUGCUAACAACCUUUGGCAGAAAGGAGAGGACUGGACCAGCACUUCAUCCCGGCUGGAGACAUUCCAGGGCCAAGGAAUUGCCACACCAAGGAGCGGCUGGGAAGUGAGAGUCGGACAAAGCGGCGGAAGCCAGGGUGAAACAUCUCACAAAGGCCAACUAUCGCCCGGCUUUCCCAAGCAGACAUUAUUCCAUGCCACAGCAUUGGAUACAACUGGAGCCCAACUUGGCUUUGAAGGUGAUGCUCCAAAACUCCAAAACUCCACAUGAUGCUCCAAAACUCCAAAAUCCAGGUGAUGCUCCAAAGCUCCAGAACUCCAAAAUCCAGAUAAUGCUUCAAAACUCCAAAAUCCAGGUGAUGCUCCAAAACUCCAAAGUCCAGGUAAUGCUCCAAACUCCAGGUGAUGCUCCAAAACUACUCCAAAAUCCAGAUAAUGCUCCAAACUCCAGGUGAUGCUCCAAAACUACUCCAAAAUCCAGGUGAUGCUCCAAAGCUCCAAAACUCCAAAAUCCAGAUAAUGCUUCAAAACUCCAAAAUCCAGGUGACGCUCCAAAAACUCCAAAGUCCAGGUAAUGCUUCAAAACUCGAGGUGAUGCUCCAAAACUCCAAAAUCCAGAUAAUGCUC